AUGGUUCAACACAACUCCAAUCAGUGUAGUUCGAGAAGCACCGUGGUAAUGUCUAACCGUGUUAAGCUCAAAAAAACUAUCUCAACUCCUUCAGAAACUAAAAAUAGACCACCGAAACACAGUAAUAUCAGCUUCCCUUUUUCUCUUAGUCGAGGCCCAAAACCAAAAACACCCCCAAGUCAAAAAGUGGAAAACAAAAACAAAAACAGAGAAAAACCAAAACCAGUGACUAAGAAGGCCUUUGCACCGAGUCCAAAAACGGUUAUCAAAAUCUUAAUCACUGAUAACAGUAUAUACAAUCUUGCUCCAUGCUCAAAGAAGCAAUGUUAA
Non-coding RNA from Vicia faba (fava bean), 330 nucleotides. Lineage: Eukaryota; Viridiplantae; Streptophyta; Magnoliopsida; Fabales; Fabaceae. The record is from the annotation of a GenBank genome assembly.